Long non-coding RNA from Marmota flaviventris (yellow-bellied marmot), 789 nucleotides. RefSeq lists it as uncharacterized. Lineage: Eukaryota; Metazoa; Chordata; Mammalia; Rodentia; Sciuridae. The record is from RefSeq and is a predicted model, not a curated record.
AUAAGGAGCACAGCUCCAUGAACAUGUGAAAAGGACAUGCCUAGUUGCAAUUACAUCACCUCACUGGACAUAAACAAUGGAUGCUGACUUUUACUGGGUGUAACCAAUCACCAACAUACACCACCAACUUGGAAUUGUAUUUAAAUUGCUGGUCCUGCCAUACUGAAGAGUUUUGCUACAAGGCCAUCAGUGAGAUUGGCGACCUUUCUGUCCAUCCCUGGACCUACUCCACCAUUCCCUGGUGUCCAGCCAUCAGCUGGAGAGAACUACCAGACAAGGACAACGUCUGCUCUUUGGCUAAGAGAAGUCAUGUGGCAUCGGAGGUAACCCAGAUGUGACUCCAGCAAUCAGCAGGGAUUAGAGAAGAAAGUCUCUCAUGUGAAGCUCAGAAGACAGUAAAAAAAAUGGAUAAGCAAAUAUAAAAGAAAAAAUUCCAGGAGUCAAGGAAAACUAUGAAGAAGUGUGAAGGAUAACCUGAGAUUAGAAGCCAGCAAUCCCAAUGCCAUUUGGGAGAGAAUGAAACAGGAGGGCCUAGUGUCCACAAGGAAUCUAGGUUAACUGACUAGAACAGGGGUGGCAGCCUCUGGCUUUCCAUUAUGUGCAGCCAUGGCAGGGCCCAGAAGAGAUCACUCAAAUUUAAUGGUGCAUAGCUUAAACUGACACACCACGUUCAGGAACAAUCUAUUCCUGCUUUCUCUGCAGAGUGCUAAUAUCUGCAACAAACACCUGAUUUAAACUGUGUGUAAAGUUAAAUAUUAAAUUACCAAAAUGUUUUCUUUAGCUCCAGUA